RNAcentral lists this ribosomal RNA (492 nucleotides) under uncultured bacterium. RNAcentral describes it as "partial 16S ribosomal RNA". It matches the Rfam family "Bacterial small subunit ribosomal RNA", at positions 29 to 507 of the family's 1533-position model. The record is from RNAcentral.
AGUGAACGCUGGCGGUAGGCCUAACACAUGCAAGUCGAACGGCAGCACAGUAAGAGCUUGCUCUUGCGGGUGGCGAGUGGCGGACGGGUGAGGAAUACAUCGGAAUCUACUUUUUCGUGGGGGAUAACGUAGGGAAACUUACGCUAAUACCGCAUACGACCUACGGGUGAAAGCAGGGGAUCUUCGGACCUUGCGCGAUUGAAUGAGCCGAUGUCGGAUUAGCUAGUUGGCGGGGUAAAGGCCCACCAAGGCGACGAUCCGUAGCUGGUCUGAGAGGAUGAUCAGCCACACUGGAACUGAGACACGGUCCAGACUCCUACGGGAGGCAGCAGUGGGGAAUAUUGGACAAUGGGCGCAAGCCUGAUCCAGCCAUACCGCGUGGGUGAAAAAGGCCUUCGGGUUGUAAAGCCCUUUUGUUGGGAAAGAAAAGCAGCAGGUUAAUACCCCGCUGUUCUGACGGUACCCAAAGAAUAAGCACCGGCUAACUUCGUG